The sequence is a ribosomal RNA, 242 nucleotides long. It matches the Rfam family "Bacterial large subunit ribosomal RNA", at positions 322 to 564 of the family's 2925-position model.
GACGACAUUAGACGAAUCAUCUGGAAAGAUGAAUCAAAGAAGGUAAUAAUCCUGUAGUCGAAAAUGUUGUCUCUCUUGAGCGGAUCCUGAGUACGACGGAGCAUGUGAAAUUCCGUCGGAAUCUGGGAGGACCAUCUCCUAAGGCUAAAUACUCUCUAGUGGCCGAUAGUGAACCAGUACCGUGAGGGAAAGGUGAAAAGCACCCCGGAAGGGGAGUGAAAUAGAACCUGAAACCGUGUGCU